This 283-nucleotide unclassified non-coding RNA is filed under the name Hevea brasiliensis (rubber tree). The record is from RNAcentral. Lineage: Eukaryota; Viridiplantae; Streptophyta; Magnoliopsida; Malpighiales; Euphorbiaceae.
UCAAGACUUUCAAGUCGCUGAAUUACAUCUGGCUCCCAACAGUCACUCUUCUCUGCGACCAAAAUAUUGAUCUCCAUUCCUUUUGGUGGGUGUUCCAGUAAAGACCAAUAUGAUGACUCCCAGUAAGAAUCGAACAUCUGGAUGGCACCUUCAGGAUUAAAAGACCACAUCUCCUGUUCUCCAGAUUUCUUUAGAUAGUUACUAAUCCAUUCUGCUGUUGGCUUACAGACCCCUAGUUCAAUCAUGUGAUUCACAAGCCACUUCCGUGAAGGAAAUGAAGAAG